This 425-nucleotide ribosomal RNA is filed under the name uncultured bacterium. Its description in RNAcentral is "partial 16S ribosomal RNA". It matches the Rfam family "Bacterial small subunit ribosomal RNA", at positions 354 to 796 of the family's 1533-position model. The record is from RNAcentral.
GUUAGGAAUAUUGGACAAUGGGCGAAAGCCUGAUCCAGCCAUGCCGCGUGAACGAUGAAGGCCUUCGGGUUGUAAAGUUCUUUAGCCGAUGAUUAUAAUGACUGUAGUCGGAAAAUAAGCCCCGGCUAACUUCGUGCCAGCAGCCGCGGUAAUACGAAGGGGGCGAGCGUUAUUCGGAAUCACUGGGCGUAAAGCGUGCGUAGGCGGUUUUGUAAGUUAGGAGUGAAAGCCCAGGGCUCAACCUUGGAAUUGCUCUCAAAACUGCAAGGCUCGAAUUCGGGAGAGGAUAGCGGAAUUGUCAGUGUAGCAGUGAAAUGCGUAGAUAUUGACAGGAACACCAGUGGCGUAAGCGGCUAUCUGGACCGAUAUUGACGCUGAGGCACGAAAGCGUGGGGAUCAAACAGGAUUAGAAACCCUAGUAGUCC